ACACAGGAUCCUUUUUUACAUAUAAUACCUGAUUGAUUAGCCAAUACCCAUUAUAUAAACAAAAUAGGAAAACGAAAGAAAAGAACAGAGGGAAGAAAAAAGGCACACAAGACGAUAUCCAAAUCUAUUGCUCGUCAUAAAUGAUCUUUCCAGGUUCCAGCUACAUAUCCGUGACAAAUAGGAUGUGAAGUCACAAACAUGUUCAUCAACAGCUACCUCUCUGUGAUCACUAGUGAUCACAAACAUGAUCACUACUAUUACUGCUACUGCUACAACUACAGAAAAUAUAACAUAUUGUACCCAAUAAUAUAAUAUAAUAAAAUAUAAAUCCGUGUUCAUUACCUAACAAUCUAAAGAGUUCCUCACAACCCAACAAGAGAUAUCGCACACAUGAUGCAACAAGAUAAGAGAACUAGCUCAUAGUCAUGCGUAUGGCAAAUAAAAUUAUGAAAGAGUAGUUUCUGAUGAGUUUUAUCCUCAUUCUUGUUCUUUAAUUGAAAUGGGUGGUAA
RNAcentral lists this unclassified non-coding RNA (510 nucleotides) under Hevea brasiliensis (rubber tree). The record is from RNAcentral. Lineage: Eukaryota; Viridiplantae; Streptophyta; Magnoliopsida; Malpighiales; Euphorbiaceae.